Molecule: ribosomal RNA, 1409 nt
Filed under: uncultured bacterium
Lineage: Bacteria
Description: bacterial SSU rRNA
Rfam family: Bacterial small subunit ribosomal RNA
Source: RNAcentral
AGAGUUUGAUCCUGGCUCAGGAUGAACGCUAGCGGCAGGCUUAACACAUGCAAGUCGAACGGCAGCGGGGAUUCACUUCGGUGAAUCUGCCGGCGAGUGGCGCACGGGUGAGUAACACGUAUGCAACCUGCCUCUGUCAGGGGUAUAACUCUGCGAAAGUAGGGCUAAUACCGCGUAUAUUCCCGGAGGGCAUCCUCCGGGGAGGAAAGGUUUCGGCCGGACAGAGAUGGGCAUGCGGCGCAUUAGGCAGUUGGCGGGGUAACGGCCCACCAAACCGACGAUGCGUAGGGGUUCUGAGAGGAAGGUCCCCCACACUGGUACUGAGACACGGACCAGACUCCUACGGGAGGCAGCAGUGAGGAAUAUUGGUCAAUGGGCGCGAGCCUGAACCAGCCAAGUCGCGUGAGGGAAGACGGUCCUAUGGAUUGUAAACCUCUUUUGUCGGGGAGCAAAAGACGUCACGUGUGGCGUUCCGAGAGUACCCGAAGAAAAAGCAUCGGCUAACUCCGUGCCAGCAGCCGCGGUAAUACGGAGGAUGCGAGCGUUAUCCGGAUUUAUUGGGUUUAAAGGGUGCGCAGGCGGAAGAUCAAGUCAGCGGUAAAAUUGAGAGGCUCAACCUCUUUCGAGCCGUUGAAACUGGUUUUUCUUGAGUGAGCGAGAAGUAUGCGGAAUGCGUGGUGUAGCGGUGAAAAUGCAUAGAUAUCACGCAGAACUCCGAUUGCGAAGGCAGCAUACCGGCGCUCAACUGACGCUGAGGCGCGAAAGCGUGGGGAGCAAACAGGAUUAGAUACCCUGGUAGUCCACGCCGUAAACGAUGGAUACUAGGUGUGGGGGGACUGACCCCCUCCGUGCCGCAGCUAACGCAAUAAGUAUCCCACCUGGGGAGUACGAUCGCAAGGUUGAAACUCAAAGGAAUUGACGGGGGCCCGCACAAGCGGUGGAGUAUGUGGUUUAAUUUGAAGCAACGCGAAGAACCUUACCAGGGCUUGACAUCCUACUAACGAACCAGAGAUGGAUUAGGUGCCCUUCGGGGAAAGUAGAGACAGGUGGUGCAUGGUUGUCGUCAGCUCGUGUCGUGAGAUGUUGGGUUAAGUCCCGCAACGAGCGCAACCCCUAUCUUCAGUAGCCAGCAUAUAGGAUGGGCACUCUGGAGAGACUGCCAGGGACAACCUGGAGGAAGGUGGGGACGACGUCAAAUCAUCAUGCCCCUUAUGGCCAGGGCUACACACGUGCUACAAUGGCGUAAACAAAGGGAGGCGAGCCCGCGAGGGGGAGCAAAUCCCAGAAAUAACGUCUCAGUUCGGAUUGUAGUCUGCAACUCGACUACAUGAAGCUGGAAUCGCUAGUAAUCGCGAAUCAGAAUGUCGCGGUGAAUACGUUCCCGGGUCUUGUACACACCGCCCGUCAAG